Molecule: ribosomal RNA, 254 nt
Filed under: uncultured bacterium
Lineage: Bacteria
Description: partial 16S ribosomal RNA
Rfam family: Bacterial small subunit ribosomal RNA
Source: RNAcentral
UACGGGGGGAGCAAGCGUUGUUCGGAUUUACUGGGCGUAAAGGGCGCGUAGGCGGCCACCGCAAGUCGACUGUGAAAUCUCCGGGCUUAACCCGGAAAGGUCAGCCGAUACUGCGGGGCUAGAGUGCAGAAGGGGCAACUGGAAUUCUCGGUGUAGCGGUGAAAUGCGUAGAUAUCGAGAGGAACACCUGCGGCGAAGGCGGGUUGCUGGGCUGACACUGACGCUGAGGAGUGAAAGCCAGGGGAGCAAACGGG